CUUCCAUUGUAGUGGUUUGCCUACAAGAACUUGAUCUUCAAACCUGACAGAGAAGCUUUGAUAUCAAAGAUCAAGGACUUGUACAAGGACAUUAUUGGAAGCAGCUAAAAGGAAACAGAGUCUUGGUGCUGCUGCAGAGACAUGGUCAAAAAUAGAUUUCAGUUGAGCAAAUUUGCAGCUUUGCUCUUCAAACUGUAAACUCUGCUUUGUUCUUUUGCUAUCUUUUUAUUCUAACACAAUAAAACUCAACUGAACUAUGUCUAUAUAUGUGCUUAUUUGUA
Lycium barbarum (goji berry) is the source of this 281-nucleotide long non-coding RNA. RefSeq lists it as uncharacterized. Lineage: Eukaryota; Viridiplantae; Streptophyta; Magnoliopsida; Solanales; Solanaceae. The record is from RefSeq and is a predicted model, not a curated record. The transcript is spliced from 2 exons.